GGAGUAUAACAUUAAAAUAUACUGUUUGUGUGUAUGAACAAUAUUUUAUAAGUUCCAAUCCAUGUUUCAACAGUCAUAAUCCAAUCCUCCUUGCAUAAAAUAAAUGCAAGAGGCUGAGAAUCUGCUAUUAUAAAACUCUUGUUUGCUCAUUUUCAUAGUUAGAAGCAUACAUAAGAGUGGAAUCACCCCAUGAACUUGUAUCACACAACAACGCGUAUGGACUACAAAGAAAAACUAAAUUUCAGAGUGUGAGGCUGUCUGAGGAGUAAAGGUAUACAUUGCACAGUCAUGAGAAUCAACUCGAGCACCAAAUGAUGCCACUGCUUCUCCUGUAACAUCUUUGUGCUGCCACAAGUCUCGCACUGAGACAAUGGUGCCAGAUUCAAGCCCAAGCACAUCCCAUCUGGCUGUAAUUGUUGCAGCUUUUGAACAACGAUUCCAGAGAGCAACCACCAAGCGGUUUCUAGACAAAGGACCUGCCCAGACCUGUAGGCAACCAUCAGUUCCAGCAGUGUAUACUUUCCUUCCCUGGACACCAAGUGGGUCUUGGUUUACAGCAAUGACCUCCUUAUUUGUUAGAAUCUCAUAAGUUUCUGCUGUCAUGUUUCUUACAUCGCAACCAAUCAAAAGUGGGGCCUUCAUCAAAGCCCAGAUGCUAAAAUGAGCACGAUACUCCUGGUGUGUCAUGCCUCCAUUGCCAACUUCCAACAUAUCCGGAUCAUUCCAUCCACCGGGUCCUGCAUAGGCUGCCCAUUUAUCAUUCAGAUCAGCUAAAGUGGUCAUGCUUGCCCAUGAAUCAUUGAUGUCAUCUGUUGUGCGCCAACUAUUUCCAACUUUCCCAGCCCAUAAGGCAGGGUCAUCGACACCCCAUUCACAAAGUGAAUAAAAAAUCGUGCGUCCAGUUGCAUUUAUUGCAUCACGCAUUGGUGGGUACCUUUCUUUCGGUUGAAUUCCCAGAUUGUAACAGUUGUCAUACUUUAGAUAAUCCACACCCCAAGAAGCAAACAAUUCUGCAUCAUCUUUUUCAUGGUAAAGCGACCCCGGUCGAACUUGACACGUAAAAAUCCCAGCAUCAGAAUAGAUACCAAGCUUGAGGCUUUUCCCAUGUACAUAAUCAGCAAGAGCUUUGAUUCCCGAUGGAAAGGCUUCUGGAUCAGGGACCAACUGACCCUUUGCAUCUCGCG
Molecule: unclassified non-coding RNA, 1184 nt
Filed under: Hevea brasiliensis (rubber tree)
Lineage: Eukaryota; Viridiplantae; Streptophyta; Magnoliopsida; Malpighiales; Euphorbiaceae
Source: RNAcentral